Paramuricea clavata is the source of this 240-nucleotide non-coding RNA. The record is from the annotation of a GenBank genome assembly. Lineage: Eukaryota; Metazoa; Cnidaria; Anthozoa; Malacalcyonacea; Plexauridae.
GUCGACUCAAAGAAUGAAAUUCAAACAAAUCUCACCAUCGCUUCGUCGUAUAUCGAUCGUCGUGCCAAUGACCAGCUUGUUAAAUUUGUCCAUUUUCCUAGCGAAAAUUUCUCGUAGCGCCAAAGUGUCCUAACGUAGUUGUUAGAUAACAGAUGACUAUAAAAUUUCUUCGUAUAAAUAUUUACAAGGCUGCCCUGGCAUUAAAAUACCGACCACAAACUAUCAUCCGUUGCCUAGCUC